This 76-nucleotide transfer RNA is filed under the name Roseiterribacter gracilis. RNAcentral's name for it is "tRNA-Met". It matches the Rfam family "tRNA". Rfam says of the family: Transfer RNA (tRNA) molecules are approximately 80 nucleotides in length. Lineage: Bacteria; Pseudomonadati; Pseudomonadota; Alphaproteobacteria; Rhodospirillales; Roseiterribacteraceae. The record is from RNAcentral.
GGGCGCGUAGCUCAACGGUUAGAGCCGGCCGCUCAUAACGGUCCAGGUGCAGGUUCGAAUCCUGCCGCGCCCACCA